This 373-nucleotide ribosomal RNA is filed under the name uncultured bacterium. RNAcentral describes it as "bacterial SSU rRNA". It matches the Rfam family "Bacterial small subunit ribosomal RNA", at positions 525 to 896 of the family's 1533-position model. The record is from RNAcentral.
ACGUAGGAGGCAAGCGUUAUCCGGAUUCACUGGGCGUAAAGCGCGUGCAGGCGGUUCGGUAAGUUGGGCGUGAAAUCUCCUGGCUUAACUAGGAGAGGUCGUUCAAUACUACCGGACUUGAGAGUGAUAGAGGAAGAUGGAAUUCCCGGUGUAGUGGUGAAAUGCGUAGAUAUCGGGAGGAACACCAGUGGCGAAAGCGAUCUUCUGGAUCAUUUCUGACGCUCAGACGCGAAAGCUAGGGUAGUAAACGGGAUUAGAGACCCCGGUAAUCCUAGCCGUAAACGAUGUAAACUUGGCGUCGGCGGCUUUAACUCCGUCGGUGCCGCAGCUAACGCGAUAAGUUUACCGCCUGGGGACUACGAUCGCAAGAUUA